AAGAAAGUAAGCAAGGGCGCAUGGCGGAUGCCUUGGCUCUCGGAGGCGAUGAAGGACGUGAUAAGCUGCGAUAAGCUUCGGGUAGGUGCAAAUAACCUUUGAUCCGAAGAUUUCCGAAUGGGACAACCCGUCAUUCUGAAGGAAUGACAUCUUGCAUAGCAAGAGGCUAACGCAGGGAACUGAAACAUCUUAGUACCUGCAGGAAAAGAAAAUAAUAAUGAUUCCCCAAGUAGUGGCGAGCGAACGGGGAUUAGCCCAAACCAAUGUUGUUACGGCAAUAUUGGGGUUGUAGGACCACGAUGUCGCAAGAACUUUAGUGAGAAGAAUUCUUUGGAAAAUGAAACCAUAGACGGUGAUAGUCCGGUAUUCGAAGCUAAACGAAGCGUAGUGGUAUCCUGAGUAGCGCGGGACACGAGGAAUCUUGCGUGAAUCUGCCGGGACCAUCCGGUAAGGCUAAAUACUCCCGAGAGACCGAUAGCGAACCAGUACUGUGAAGGAAAGGUGAAAAGCACUUCGAAUAGAAGAGUGAAAUAGUCCCUGAAACCGUGCGCCUACAAGCGGUCGGAGCAGCGUCAGCUGUGACGGCGUGCCUUUUGCAUAAUGAACCUACGAGUUACUUUUUCCGGCAAGGUUAAGCAUUUCAAAAUGUGUAGCCGAAGCGAAAGCGAGUCUGAACAGGGCGAUUAGUCGGAAGGAGUAGACGCGAAACCAAGUGAUCUACCCUUGGUCAGGUUGAAGGUUAGGUAACACUAACUGGAGGACCGAACCGAUAAGCGUUGAAAAGCUUCCGGAUGAACUGAGGGUGGGGGGUGAAAGGCUAAUCAAACUUGGAGAUAGCUCGUACUCCCCGAAAUGCAUUUAGGUGCAGCCUUGGGAAUUACUACUGUGAGGUAGAGCGACUGAUAAGAUGCGAGGGCUUCACCGCCUAUCAAGUCUUGAUAAACUCCGAAUGCGCAGUAGUUCGAUCCCAGGAGUGAGGGCAUGGGUGCUAAGGUCCAUGUCCUAAAGGAGAAGAAUCCGGACCAUCAGCUAAGGUCCCGAAAUAAUUGCUAAGUUGAACUAACGAAGUCAGAUUGCUAAGACAGCUAGGAUGUUGGCUUGGAAGCAGCCAUUCAUUUAAAGAGUGCGUAACAGCUCACUAGUCGAGGAGUUUGGCGUGGAUAAUAAUCGGGCAUUAAGCAAUUUACCGAAGCUAUGGGAUCAGUAAUGAUCGGUAGGGGAGCAUUCCACUCUGCGUCGAAGGUGAAGCGUGAGCUUUGCUGGAGCGUGUGGAAAAGCAAAUGUAGGUAUAAGUAACGAUAAAGGGGGUGAGAAACCCCCUCGCCGAAAGACUAAGGUUUCCUGAUCAACGCUAAUCGGAUCAGGGUUAGUCGGGUCCUAAGGCUCAGCCGAACGGUGAGGCCGAUGGCAGAACAGGUUAAUAUUCCUGUACUACCUUAAGGAGUGACGUGGAGACGGAGCAGUGAUAGCGCCGCGGACUGACGGAAUAGUCCGUUGAAGGGUGUAGAUGUUGAUCUUUGCAGGCAAAUCCACAAAGAGAGUCGAACCUGAUAGUAUACCAAAUUCUUCGGAAUAAGGUAAUAGUGCGUGUAAGCAUACUCCCAAGAAAAUCCGCUAAACUUAAUCUUUAAGGUACCCGUACCGCAAACGGACACACGUAGUCGGGUUGAAUAUACUAAGGCGCUUGAGUGAUUCACGGUUAAGGAACUAGGCAAAUUGACCCUGUAACUUCGGGAUAAAGGGUCCCAACGAGAGUUGGGCGCAGAGAAUAGGUCCAGGCAACUGUUUAACAAAAACACAGGGCUGUGCCAAAUUGAAAGAUUACGUAUACAGCCUGACACCUGCCCGGUGCUGGAAGGUUAAGAGGAGAUGUCAUCGCAAGAGAAGCAUUGAAUUGAAGCCCCAGUAAACGGCGGCCGUAACUAUAACGGUCCUAAGGUAGCGAAAUUCCUUGUCGGGUAAGUUCCGACCUGCACGAAUGGUGUAAUGAUCUGGACACUGUCUCAACCGUGAGCUCAGUGAAAUUGUAGUAUCGGUGAAGAUGCCGAUUACCCGCGAUGGGACGAAAAGACCCCGUGAACCUUUACUAUAGCUUAACAUUGAAUUUGGGUAAUUGAUGUGUAGGAUAGGCCGGAGACUUCGAAGCAGGUACGCCAGUAUUUGUGGAGUCGCUGUUGAAAUACGGCCCUUUGAUUAUUUGAGUUCUAACUCGUAGUUGCGAGGACACUGUUUGGUGGGUAGUUUGACUGGGGUGGUCGCCUCCAAAAGUGUAACGGAGGCUUCUAAAGGUGCCCUCAGGACGAUUGGUAACCGUCCGUAGAGUGUAAUGGCAUAAGGGCGCUUGACUGGGAGACAGACAAGUCGAUCAGGUAGGAAACUAGAGCAUAGUGAUCCGGUGUUUCCGCAUGGAAGGGACAUCGCUCAAAGGAUAAAAGGUACUCCGGGGAUAACAGGCUGAUCCCUCCCAAGAGCUCAUAUCGACGGAGGGGUUUGGCACCUCGAUGUCGGCUCGUCACAUCCUGGGGCUGGAGAAGGUCCCAAGGGUUGGGCUGUUCGCCCAUUAAAGUGGCACGCGAGCUGGGUUCAGAACGUCGUGAGACAGUUCGGUCUCUAUCUAUCGUGGGCGUAUGAAAUUUGCGUGGCUCUGACACUAGUACGAGAGGACCGUGUUGGACUGACCGCUGGUUUACCAGUUGUGCCGCCAGGUGCAUCGCUGGGUAUCUAAGUCGGGAUUGGAUAAGUGCUGAAAGCAUCUAAGUACGAAGCCAGCCACAAGAUUAGAUUUCUUAGGGUCGUUAAAGACGAUGACGUUGAUAGGAUGCAGGUGUAAAGGUGGUAACAUCAAAGCCGAGCAUUACUAAUUGCCCGUUCACUUUCUUUC
This 2881-nucleotide ribosomal RNA is filed under the name Bacteroides xylanisolvens. RNAcentral describes it as "23S ribosomal RNA". It matches the Rfam family "Bacterial large subunit ribosomal RNA". Lineage: Bacteria; Pseudomonadati; Bacteroidota; Bacteroidia; Bacteroidales; Bacteroidaceae. The record is from RNAcentral.